This 38-nucleotide ribosomal RNA is filed under the name Phellinus nigricans. Its description in RNAcentral is "partial 28S ribosomal RNA". Lineage: Eukaryota; Fungi; Basidiomycota; Agaricomycetes; Hymenochaetales; Hymenochaetaceae. The record is from RNAcentral.
UUUGACACCUUGACCUCAAAUCAGGUAGGAUUACCCGC